GACGAACGCUGGCGGCGUGCCUAAUACAUGCAAGUCGAACGCAGUGGGGACGGGUGAGUAACACGUGGGUAACCUCCCAUCAGAGGGGAUAACACUUGGAAACAGGUGCUAAACCGAUACUGAUGGAUGGACCCGCGGUGCAUUAGCUAGUUGGUGAGGUAACGGCUCACCAAGGCCACGAUGCAUAGCCGACCUGAGAGGGUGAUAGACCACAAUGGGACUGAGACACGGUCCAGAGUCCUACGGGAGGCAGCAGUAGCGAAUCUUCGGCAAUGGUCGACAGUCUUACCGAGCAACGUCGCAUGAGUGAAGCAGGUUUUCGGAUCGUAAAACUCUGUAGUUUGAGAAGCGGUAUCUAACCAGAAAGCCACGGCUAACUACGUGCCAGCAGCCGCGGUAAUUC
This 403-nucleotide ribosomal RNA is filed under the name uncultured bacterium. Its description in RNAcentral is "partial 16S ribosomal RNA". It matches the Rfam family "Bacterial small subunit ribosomal RNA", at positions 28 to 526 of the family's 1533-position model. The record is from RNAcentral.